ACAGCUCAGUGGUAGAGCAUCUGCUUUGCAUGCAGAAGGUCCUAGGUUCAAUCCCCACCAGGUAUG
Podarcis lilfordi (Lilford's wall lizard) is the source of this 66-nucleotide non-coding RNA. The record is from the annotation of a GenBank genome assembly. NCBI's taxonomy places the organism in Eukaryota, Metazoa, Chordata, Lepidosauria, Squamata, Lacertidae.